UUCAGAUAAGAGAUCUGGGCUGGCAAGACGACUCUAAUUAAUAUACUUGCUAAUGGAAGUGCCUUGGAGAUCGUGGUAGAUACGUGUACUGCAGAUGCUCAGAAGUUUAACGAGAGGACACAGGGUGAAAAGAUUGCAGCAUAGAGAAGUGACUUACCCGAAGUAGCUUAGACGCUGGAGAAGCCGCAACAAUGAAGCAAAAUGAAGCAAUGGAGAGCAAGUUUCAGGGCAGCUGAGUACAGCAGGAGAGGUAGGCGGGAGACUCCAAAACCAGGCUCUUAUACUUCAUCUAGACAACCACAGGCUACACUUGGAAGACAGCAAAGCAGCCGGACACAGCGCCGUUGAGGAGUGAUCUUUGCUAACCCCCCCCCAAGGAGCUAGAUUCCAGCUAGUGAGCCAGAACAGCUGCCAACAGCUGACCUCUGUUGGAUCGACAGAAGCUGAUGUGGCCCACUUACUGACUGUGAAAUCUCUGCGUGUACAUUGAAUUUAGGGGAAUUUUAAUUGUUAUAUAAAUGUAUGAAUUAGAGUCAGCAGCGUUCUUUCAUGAUUGUUCUGCCAACACAUAAAACAGAACAAAACUGACUCACCCCCCAGAAAUGGUCACAAAUAAAGAAAAUU
Non-coding RNA from Myodes glareolus (Bank vole), 624 nucleotides. NCBI's taxonomy places the organism in Eukaryota, Metazoa, Chordata, Mammalia, Rodentia, Cricetidae. The record is from RefSeq and is a predicted model, not a curated record.